UAAUCACCGAACACUUCCAAGUUGUCUGGAAGCAACUUGAUAACUUAUCAGUACAAAAAUGUUCAUUUGUGUGAACGUUCUGACUGCAAUUUUUCUAACUUAUAAUCAUCGGAUCGAUCUGAAACAUAUCGGAAAAUGAAAAGCGAAAUAAAUAACUCCAAGCAACGGCGUAGCCAAGAGAAGGUUUUGGGGUUUAACACCAUACAACCCCCCCCCCCCCCUCCACACCCAAAAAAAAUAUUGGAUUGAAGUUGAAAAUUUAUUGAUGCAGACUGAUUUAAUUCAAUAUUACAAUAACAAUUAUCUGAUCCGUAGAUUGAUAACCUGUUGUUGUAAACAUCAUGAGGACUUUUGAUAAAUUGUCUAUUAGCAUCAAUAUCAAAUUCCUGCCUGAAAACAUUCCAAUAGAAAAUUCCAGAGUUCUGUUAUCAAUCAUAAUCCUCAGAUUUAUUUUCGUUUUUGUAGAGAUGUACUGUAAUAAGGGUCUUUAUUUAAUAGGAAGCGAAGUUAAAAUUGAUUUAAUGUAUAUGAAACAUAGAACUGCUCACCAAAAAAAUGCAUAACUUUCAACAUUUGCUAAAAAUGUUUUUGCCUUUCUCAUUCACUCUGAAAUUCGUCAAUCUAAUCCCGACCCGGAGAGCCGUGUGUCAUAUGCCAAUCGACUGAGUUCGUCGAGAUCGGAAAUGUCUGUGUGUAUGUAUGUGUGUAUGUAUGUGUGUAUGUGGAAAAAAAUGUGACCUCUGUUUCUCAGAGAUGGCUGAACCGAUUUGCACAAAGACAGUCUCAAAUGAAAGGUACAACCUUCCCAUCGGCUGCUGUUGAAUUUUUUAUUGAUUGGACUUCCGGUUCCGGAGUUACGAGUUGAAGAGUGCAAUCACACAGCAAAUUCCCAUAUAAACUGAAAUGAAAAAAUUUCAUGAUCAAAUUUGUAUUUUUGAUGUCAAAUGACUUUUAAAUGCAUGAAACAUUGAGAUGUUUAAUAAAAAUUGACUUCUUUGGACUUUGAUACAUUUUUGCCUUUUUCAUAUAGAAAAACUCUAAAAAUCGUCAAUCAUACCGGCCCGGAGGGAGUAUGCAGUGAGGGGUUGCUACUUUAAAAUUAAAACAAUUGCACUAUUAGGUGGAUUAAAACAGGUUUUUAUUUUGGGAAUGCGUCGAGUUGAGACGAAAACGUAAUAUGAUUAAUAACGAGGAUAACACUUUCCGAAUGUAGAGAGAAAUUUAUGAAAAAUGAUUUCCAUUCGAUUCUAGCAGGUUCUGAUCAAUUUUGAUGAGCAUUUGAUUUUUGUUGUAUGACCAAUUAUAUGUAUAGGUCAAAUGUUUAAAAACAGUAAUUUAAGGUCAAGAUAACAUCAUUUUGAAACCGCCAAUUUCGGAGGUUUAGUAUCUUCGAAGAGUUUUACAAACGUUAAACAGCGCAUCAUUUGAUAAAAUAAUUUUGACGGUAUAUCGUCCAAAAAGUAUUCAUGGUGAAUUUUCUCAGGUUGAUAUUCAUGACUACAAAAAAGUCUCAACAAAUUCGCUAAAGACACGAACUCUGUUACUAUUUUCUGAAAAAUUAAUUCUGCAUAAUUUUAAAACUUCAAAAAUUACGGUUUCGGAAUUAUGCCGUUUGGACAGUAAGAUCGAUUUUCACCAAACCGAAUUUCUGGCUACGCCGCUGAUUUCAAGUAAGUAGAAACAAAGUCGUUCUACACUCGUUCAAAAGAAACUUCUUCGAAUGCUGAAUAUCUAUUAUAACACAUUGAAACCCCGAUUUUAUCAGCCAAAUAUGAACAUAUGUGUGAUGGGCUGUAGCAGACGAACAAGACUGAAUUCGAGUAAAUCCUUUCUUGAGCAUGUUUUCCUUAUCAUGAAGAUAUGCGAAAUAUGCGAAAAUAAAAAGUUCAUCAUAAUCAGAAAUAGUUAUCAGACUACAUCAAGGGACGAGAAGAAUAUUUUAACAGCUUCAGUUUAUUAUAGAAAAAAAGUUGCCCGAUUUAGUCAAUGUCCCCAUUUUGUCAGCCUAAAAUACGUCGUGAGACUGAUAAAAAUGGGUCUUUAUUGUAUGUAUUAUUCGCUGUGUUUCACAUUAAUAGGUACAUUUCUUUUUUGGAGAUUUUUUUAUUGCAUCGAACUACAACAAUUUUUAGGUAGUUUUCAAGGGGUUAUUUUAUAGACUUACCAAUUAAUUGGUAUACUUAAGGGUUUAUAUGUUGCAGAUAGAGAAAAUACUUAAAUUUUCAGCUUUUUUCCUACACAAUAUUACGAAAGCUUAUUAAAAAAAAAUUCCUAAUAAGUUUGUGAAAAUUAUAAACUCUUUGAAAUUUUUUAAUAGUUUUUUUUUAUAUAACCGUGAUUUUUUAAUAAAUAGUGACCAUCGCUUCACAACGUAGUCUAUUGUUCAUGGCUUGCGAUUUAACUCGCCGCGCAGCUCUGAAUUAUACCCGCUGGUGCCCUAAGACGAUUUCGCUAGAUUUUCAGAGCACUGUGCACCCAGUGCAUUAACGCAAGUGACGGAAGGUUAUCGAAAAGUUUCGUGAAAAUGAAAAUUCCAGUAAUGAUGAUGAUUUUCCCAUACGGUUCGUUUUCGAGAGGAUUUUAUUUGUUCUUUGGCAUUAGGAUUAGCGAUAAUAGUUCAAAUCAAGGAUACUACUGGGAAGUCACCUUUAGAAAAAGUUGAUAUCGAAGUAAAAUUUGGAACUAUGCACACAUGCACUUCAGAGAUAGCGUGAUAUCAGGAGCUGUGAUUACAUUUCAACGCUUUUUUGUGAAAAGGGCGAUACUUACAAAUGUAAACAAAAGGCUUUUUUCAUACAUGUGAAUGAGGGCUUUGAAACGCAACAAAUUAACCUAAAAAUUUUGAUUCUACGAUAUUGCUUUCUUAAACUACAGCAAAAAAUACAACGGGUGAAACUGUAUUUUUGUUUGUUUAUUUAAAGUUUCGCCCUCCACGCUCCAUGCAAACAAACAGGGCGAUACUUUUUUUGCUGGCAAUUUAGAGGCGAAAGUGCUAUUUUCGUAUUUUUUUAGGAUUAUCAAGCUGAUACCAGCUGUAAAUAGUAACAAUGAUCUCUAUUGAAAAAAACACGGACGAAAUCGGUGGUGUACAACGGUAGUUAUUGUAAAAAAACGUAAGGGCGAUACUUCAAUGCUGAUAGGUGGGACCGAAAAAGUAAACAAUCGCCAAAGGGGCUAUACUAUCAUUUUGUCAAUUUCAAUAGCAAAAACAAAUUUUAAUUUAAUAAUUUCAAAUACUUUAUGAAGUUUUGAGUUUCGAUCACUGAAUCAUGCAUUCUAGGAUGUAAAAAAACACAAUUGUUCUUAAGUAGGAAAUAAAACCAAGUCUGGAAAUA
Topomyia yanbarensis is the source of this 3335-nucleotide long non-coding RNA. RefSeq lists it as uncharacterized. The transcript has 2 exons. Lineage: Eukaryota; Metazoa; Arthropoda; Insecta; Diptera; Culicidae. The record is from RefSeq and is a predicted model, not a curated record.